Molecule: ribosomal RNA, 216 nt
Filed under: Glomeromycotina sp.
Lineage: Eukaryota; Fungi; Glomeromycota
Description: partial small subunit ribosomal RNA
Rfam family: Eukaryotic small subunit ribosomal RNA (bases 54-216)
Source: RNAcentral
GGGUCAGUAGGUUGGUCGUGCCACCGGUACGUACUGGUCCCACUGACUCCUCCUUCCUGAAGAACCGUAAUGCCAUUAAUUUGGUGUUGCGGGGAAACAGGACUGUUACUUUGAAAAAAUUAGAGUGUUUAAAGCAAGCUAACGCUUGAAUACAUUAGCAUGGAAUAAUGAAAUAGGACGAUCGAUCCUAUUUUGUUGGUUUCUAGGAUUGACGUA